GAGAGAAAGCGAGAGGCAACCGCUCCCUGGGGCCGACCCAACCCGGACGCACAUCCCGGCUCCCCCGCCCGGAAACGCCGUCAGGACGGGGGCGCCGCUCGGGGAGGUGCCUGCCCGCUGCCUCCGCCCCCGCGGCGGCGAGACCCCGCCGGGUGGGGUUGGCCGGGAGGCUCCUGCCGGGGGUUUGCGGUAGGGUUGUUGUCCGCCUGAGUCGGGCUUGAAGCGAGGGACAGGUUGCUUUUUCGUCUGGGUUCCUGAGGAAAGAUACGGGCAAGGCUGAUCUUCCCGGCCCCUGCCUGCAUUCAUCCUUGUUCCACUCCCUAUCCGCCGGCCUUCCUCACCUCGUCCUUCACGGAAAACAGUGUGAUCAGCCACAGGCUUUCUUUAGGUUAUCAGUGAGGGCAGCUGCCGUUCCUGUGUAGCUUUUUUUGACCAAGGUGUGCCCAUCAUCGUGGCACAUGGUCUGCCAGCUCCCAGGUUUUAAUAAAACAGGGUAUGAUAGAUGUCAAGUAUUCCAGGCAGACUGUUCCCCCUUCUCUCCGUUGACUGGAAAAGGAGCCUGUGACCACAGCUGUAUAAGAACCUCUACUGAAAGUUGAAGAAAAAAUAUACGACUCAAUCACAGGAACAUUUAGGGAGCGUACUUGAUUGGAACAUUAUAUCUGAAUUUCCAGAAUUUGGACUGAUAGAAAUAAGUUCAUGGUGUUACAUAUAGGCACCAGAGUUCACCUAAAACCAUGCAACAGAGGCUAUGUGAAUUUUGGAUAUACUGAGGACUUACAGCUUGCCUGGAAAUCAGUGAAGUUGGAGAAUCCAAGUAACCUAGGAAACUGUUACCUGUAUAUGUACUUACAUGCAUACAUAUAUAUGCGUGUACCUUACAGUACAUGUGCAUAUGUUGACUGAAAUAUUCUGUAAAAGUGCAUUUUUUUA
Molecule: long non-coding RNA, 933 nt
Organism: Manacus vitellinus (golden-collared manakin)
Lineage: Eukaryota; Metazoa; Chordata; Aves; Passeriformes; Pipridae
Exons: 4
Source: RefSeq, a predicted model, not a curated record